Molecule: transfer RNA, 85 nt
Filed under: Povalibacter uvarum
Lineage: Bacteria; Pseudomonadati; Pseudomonadota; Gammaproteobacteria; Steroidobacterales; Steroidobacteraceae
Also listed under: 11 other names
Description: tRNA-Leu
Rfam family: tRNA
About the family: Transfer RNA (tRNA) molecules are approximately 80 nucleotides in length. Their secondary structure includes four short double-helical elements and three loops (D, anti-codon, and T loops).
Source: RNAcentral
GCGAAAGUGGCGGAACUGGUAGACGCGCUGGAUUUAGGUUCCAGUGGGUAACCCCGUGAGGGUUCGAGUCCCUCCUUUCGCACCA